Molecule: transfer RNA, 92 nt
Filed under: Verrucomicrobiia bacterium
Lineage: Bacteria; Pseudomonadati; Verrucomicrobiota; Verrucomicrobiia
Description: tRNA-Ser
Rfam family: tRNA
About the family: Transfer RNA (tRNA) molecules are approximately 80 nucleotides in length. Their secondary structure includes four short double-helical elements and three loops (D, anti-codon, and T loops).
Source: RNAcentral
GGAAGGGUGGCUGAGUCCGGUCGAAGGCACUCGACUCGAAAUCGAGCGUGGCAGUAAUGUCACCGUGGGUUCGAAUCCCACCCCUUCCGCCA